AGCUUUGUGCUUACUGUGGAGAGUGCAGGUGCAGGCAGCCACAAGAGCCUACCUGCAGCAUGGCUGCCUGGUGCCUCAUCUAGAAGCACCUUUGGUUCAGGCUGUGUGUUGCUUGAGAACUGAGGUGGAUCACCCAGUGUCAUCAGCUGGAUUUGGUUUUGCAAGUGAGUUGUUACAGAAAGUAGAUGAGCUCUGAGGGCUGUUACUCCUCUUCAGAUUCACCUGUGUCUCAGAAGACCCAUUGUAUACAGUUGUCCUCUGGUUUUGGAGCAUACCCCAACAAAACAGCAGUUCUGCAGAAUGCUGAGGACAGGAGGGAGCAGAUUUCUUCUGGAGUAAAGAGGCGUAAAAGGGGAGAGAGUGGACGUGCUAAGAGCCAUAGGUGCAGCUCCCUGUGCUUCCUUGUGAGUGAAAUCCAAGGAUCAGGAGUUUGCAUCCUCACCAAAGUCCCACAGCAGAAUUGAACUUUAGGAAAGCAAGUCCUGGGCACACAAGCCAUGCCAGAGGCACAUGAAGGAAACACUGGUCUGGCACCAGGGCAAGGAUUGAUAGAAAAAAGAACCUGGAAGUAAGAU
Molecule: long non-coding RNA, 575 nt
Organism: Pezoporus occidentalis (night parrot)
Lineage: Eukaryota; Metazoa; Chordata; Aves; Psittaciformes; Psittacidae
Exons: 5
Source: RefSeq, a predicted model, not a curated record